This 323-nucleotide ribosomal RNA is filed under the name uncultured soil bacterium. Its description in RNAcentral is "bacterial SSU rRNA". It matches the Rfam family "Bacterial small subunit ribosomal RNA", at positions 27 to 341 of the family's 1533-position model. The record is from RNAcentral.
GGGAUGAACGCUGGCGGCGUGCCUAAUACAUGCAAGUCGAACGAGGUGCUUUUGUAGCAAUACGAGAGUAUCCUAGUGGCGAACGGGUGAGUAACGCGUUGGUGACCUACCCCAAAGUGUGGGAUAACAGUCCGAAAGGAUUGCUAAUACCGCAUGUGGUUAUAGGAUUUAGAAACCGAUAACUAAAGGAGCAAUUCGCUUUGGGAGGGACCUGCGUCCCAUCAGCUAGUUGGUGAGGUAAUGGCUCACCAAGGCUACGACGGGUAGGGGACCUGAGAGGGUCGACCCCCCACAAUGGAACUGAAACACGGUCCAUACACCUA